This 253-nucleotide ribosomal RNA is filed under the name uncultured bacterium. RNAcentral describes it as "partial 16S ribosomal RNA". It matches the Rfam family "Bacterial small subunit ribosomal RNA", at positions 524 to 777 of the family's 1533-position model. The record is from RNAcentral.
UACGGGGGGGCAAGCGUUGUUCGGAAUUACUGGGCGUAAAGGGCUCGUAGGCGGCCAACUAAGUCAGACGUGAAAUCCCUCGGCUUAACCGGGGAACUGCGUCUGAUACUGGAUGGCUUGAGUUCGGGAGAGGGAUGCGGAAUUCCAGGUGUAGCGGUGAAAUGCGUAGAUAUCUGGAGGAACACCGGUGGCGAAGGCGGCAUCCUGGACCGAUACUGACGCUGAGGAGCGAAAGCCAGGGGAGCAAACGGGA